AGAGAGAGCGAGCGAGAGAGAGAGAGGAGGCAGCCACGGCGCGCACCGGCGACGAGCACCGACGCCGACGAAUCCGCUCCCAUCCAUGGCAGCCCGACGGUGAAAGGAAAAUGCAAUGUUAACAUCUACUUAACAAGAAUGCUUCACCUUCAUGGCUGUCAAGCUGAAUGGCUGGGAAAGAACAACUGUAUUAUUGCUGCCAAAACAGAGGAGAAAAGUGUUUCUAUCCAUGGCAAGGUUUUUCAGGAUUUCUGCUGCCAGCUGCUUCAGUUCAUGGCUUCUCCCAUUGUCAUCCAUGAUCUCUGCAAGGUUGCUCAAUAUGAAGUUUCGAAGAUCAAAGUUAGCAAGCCUCUCAAGAAUGAUCAGUCCUUGUACUGGGAGGAAAUCUUGGUCCGUGGAUGGCUCCUCCUCUGGAACUGACCAGCAUUUUGUGAUCUGCUUCCAGCAUCUGACCAUACAAGAGUUUUGUUCAUCCACGUUAGAUGGCUCGUCCACCGCAAUGAACAGAAAAUGAUCCCUUGUUGUCUGUUGGUGAUCAGUGUCCAGAAGUGAGGCUACAAGCUGCGUUGCCCCUGGGAUUUGAACAACUCGGAGGCUACCAGCAAGCUCGGCAGUGACCUUUGCAGCGAAUAAUCUGAUUUCUUCAUCCCCAUUGCUUGUCCAGUCCAGCAUAUCGAACAAUGAGACUACUGUCCUGGUGUCAUUGGUGAGUUUUGUGAUUGUUUUGGUCCUUAACUGCUCCUUUUUUUGAAAUUUAUGCAGCAUCUGAACCCCAUAGAGCUUCUUCCUGGAUGAGUCUGAGUUGAGGGAAUCCAUGGCAAAUGUGAUGAGGCUGAUCUUCUUUGGAGCAAGCACAGCCCCUCCCAUGCAUUUCUCAAAGGCAUAUGCAUAGUACAAAUUCACAUAUUCCACUCCCAUCUGACCUCCCAAUCCGCCAUGGCGGAUGAGGUAUUUCCGAGGGAUGAAUGAAAAUACCUCCAGCAAGCAUGCUACAAUGUAAAGUAUCCCUUGCCCCAGUACCAUCCCAUAGAAUAUGAUUAGAGAUGCCUUGAGGUUUUUCUCGCUAUUUUCUCCGUUCUUUUUAUGUAGGCCUAACGAUGCGAGGACGACACGCACAGCAGCUGCUGGAAUCUGGAAGUUGCCAAAUGACAGCAACAGUAAAGCAGAAACGUCGUAUACGAUUAUCACAAGUCGUCCUGGUAGCUCGUCACUGAAAGUGAAUACCAGCAUCACUAUCGC
This 1239-nucleotide long non-coding RNA is filed under the name Oryza sativa Indica Group (long-grained rice). Its description in RNAcentral is "lncRNA OsMH63_07G025550". The record is from RNAcentral. Lineage: Eukaryota; Viridiplantae; Streptophyta; Magnoliopsida; Poales; Poaceae.